This 677-nucleotide long non-coding RNA is filed under the name Ananas comosus (pineapple). Its description in RNAcentral is "long non-coding RNA (ACOM_LNC028191)". The record is from RNAcentral. Lineage: Eukaryota; Viridiplantae; Streptophyta; Magnoliopsida; Poales; Bromeliaceae.
AAAUGCCAGAAUUAAUGGAAAUGCAACUAUUUAAUACCCUAUUAUGCAUAACAGUUACACUAGUCCAAAUGCCACUCGUUCUUUGUGUUCAACACUAACUAGAGUUUAAUCCACAUUAAUCAUGUCAUUAUAGGGUUUCACAACACUAUGUCCCAAUCUCAUGCAUACUAGGUACAAAUAUUAAGCAAACAACACUACACUACCACUAGCAUGCUAUAACAUGUAACAAUACCAAUUAGCACCCUAUAAUGCGAUAUCACAAUAUGCAACUUGAUCAACGAUAACUUAGACAUAGAGAGCAGUUCAACUACUUUGGAUGGUCACCACCCACCUUUUAUAGCAUUCCGAUUGCUCGUCGUCACUCGCAAUCGGCCUCCCGCGGCGCACGCCGCUCGGCUCGACCCAAUUCGCGCGCGACCACCGAACGAUCUCCGAUCCGCUAUCCGGAAAUUAUAGGUCUUCGGUUUCUUGUUACGAUGCUCGGAAUCCGAUCCCACGAUUUAUGGAAGCCGCCUCGACUCCUCGGGUCAGUACAAACCCAUGAACACUCGUUUCAGCGAUAACUUUGCACCCGCUCGACGAAUCGACGAACCGUCUUCGCCAACGCAUUUAAACACCUAGCAAUUAGGUUUACAUAUGAUCAAUUUAGAUCAAACCCUCAUAUUUCUCAAAACCUC